CGACUUCGGAUUGAAUAGACGUAGACGUAAACUCUCCUUGCGAUAAUUUCAUUGGAAUUUUAUAAUCACCUCAUUCUGAAUAUAAAUAUCUUCUUCACGGUUAAAUAAUAUCCCAAUUCGGGUCAAAAGUACAAACACAAAUAUCGACUUCCUUCCAAUGCUAACUUUCAAACACUCGUACUUGAAGUGACAUGCAUAUGCAUAUACCUAAAUAUAGCUUGCGCAUUUUUGUCAACUUAAAAAAUUCCUGUAUAGGGAAAUCACGAAGCGAUAAAUGAAAACGGGAAUUCUAGUCCAGAGGAGUGCCCAGAAAUUGCGAAAAAUUUAGGGAACAGCUACAAGAGGGGAAGAAGGAUGAAUCGUCAGCAUCUUCUUCGGAAGAAGAGUUUCAAAUUGGAUAAAUCGAAAAAUAGUUGAGCAUUUAUGUAGAAAUAAUGUCCAUGAAUUAUAUUAAAAAAUAAACAGUA
This is a long non-coding RNA of Photinus pyralis (common eastern firefly), 467 nucleotides long. RefSeq lists it as uncharacterized. Lineage: Eukaryota; Metazoa; Arthropoda; Insecta; Coleoptera; Lampyridae. The transcript has 3 exons. The record is from RefSeq and is a predicted model, not a curated record.